GUGUUCAUUUCAGCAGCACAUAGAUUAAAACUGGAACAAUACAGAGAAGAUUAGCAUGGCCCCUGAGCAAGAAUGACAUGCAAAUUUGUGAAGAACUCCAUAGUUUU
Sorex fumeus (smoky shrew) is the source of this 107-nucleotide small nuclear RNA. The record is from RefSeq and is a predicted model, not a curated record. Lineage: Eukaryota; Metazoa; Chordata; Mammalia; Eulipotyphla; Soricidae.